GACGAACGCUGGCGGCGUGCUUAAUACAUGCAAGUCGAGCGAGGUUACUGUUUCGGAUCCCUUCGGGGUGAAGAAGCUUUAACCUAGCGGCGGACGGGUGAGUAACGCGUGGGUAACCUACCCCAAAGUCCGGGAUAACAGCGGGAAACCGCUGCUAAUACCGGAUGCCUUUACCUUGGGGCAUCUUGAGGUAAAGAAAGGCAACGCUUUGGGAUGGGCCCGCGUCCCAUUAGCUAGUUGGUGAGGUAACGGCUCACCAAGGCGACGAUGGGUAGCCGGCCUGAGAGGGUGGACGGCCACACUGGGACUGAGACACGGCCCAGACUCCUACGGGAGGCAGCAGUAGGGAAUAUUGCGCAAUGGACGGAAGUCUGACGCAGCGACGCCGCGUGAGCGAUGAAGGUCUUCGGAUCGUAAAGCUCUGUCCUUGGGGAAGAAGGCGAAAGCUUGACGGUACCCAAGAAGAAAGCCCCGGUAACUACGUGCCAGCAGCCGCGGUAAGAGUACUCUAU
This 512-nucleotide ribosomal RNA is filed under the name uncultured bacterium. RNAcentral's name for it is "bacterial SSU rRNA". It matches the Rfam family "Bacterial small subunit ribosomal RNA", at positions 28 to 530 of the family's 1533-position model. The record is from RNAcentral.